GCACACAUCGGUUUGUUUGCUUGAGGAUGAGAUUUGUGUUUGUGGUUUGUGGUAGCGGUGAAGCAACUUUGCCAAAUAUUCCGUUCAAGUUCCUCGCUGGAUGUCCCGCUCGUCCGUCGAUGUUCAACAGGUGAGGGAACGUUUCAGCAACGCCUGCGAGUUUCAUGCUCCCGGUUCAAAAGGUGAGGGCGUCUGUACAAAAUUGUAAAAUGGGCCGCUCUGUUACUACAGAUGCAGCAAGUGCCAAUCCACUUUUUCUCAGCUGCACCUUCUCAGUCCAGGCAGCAACAGCACCAGGUGAAUGUAGGUACACAACUUCCAAGUGAAAGACGCACGAGUGCAAUUCUGAAGCUGAUUUUCAGGCAUGGAGAGAAGAAAUGCAGGAUGCAGCCAAGAGUCAUUUUACUAAAGGCACAGGGAGAAGAACGUCAAAGGAAAAAGGUCCAUAAAAUCAUAAGGUUCCGUCAGGCAUGGGGCAACCUGCAUUGAUGAUUCGUCUGCAUUGUUCCAGACUGGCAAGGUUCUAGGACACAACGGGACAUUCCUAAGGGGCCCCCUACCAUCUCGCUCAUGAUCAGAGCUGACAAUUAAGGCGUAAUGGUUUCAAAUUUCCAAAGAUUCUCUAAGAAGUGGCAUGCAUUUCAGAAUUUGUAUGAGUACAACACAACAGCGUGUACAGCCCGAGACAAAAGUUCACGGCACUACGCCUUUCUUCAUCGGAGCGGUCCCCUGCCAGCUACCAGCAAGAGAUCGAAUAAGAAACGGGUCUAUCUCUCAGUAUGUGCGUCCGCUCUUGUUUGAUGCUAGGGUGUCACUCCAAUGGAGAAAUGUGACACCAUGGUGAUCCGUAAAGAUUUGUACCAAGCUGCACAUCGUACAACCCCGACAACUAACAAACACUGCUCGGUAAGGUCAGUGUUCCAAUUUGAGAUUUUGCUGCCUAUUUCUUCCCAAAAGGCUGCUCUUGCUUGUGAACUCCGGUGUACCAAGACAAGUUCAGAACAAAGAAUUUAUAGUUAGACUUUGAAGGCAGUAGUCAACAUAAAUAAGUUUUACCUCUGAGAUGAUUGCCCAUUCAAGGCAACAACAAACUCGUAGGUUCACCACAUCAUCUAAACUUCCUCGGCCUGUUACAGCUUGUUUCUGUCCACAAGGAGUGGUGACAAGAACUAUCAUUCAUC
Molecule: long non-coding RNA, 1181 nt
Organism: Ornithodoros turicata
Lineage: Eukaryota; Metazoa; Arthropoda; Arachnida; Ixodida; Argasidae
Exons: 3
Source: RefSeq, a predicted model, not a curated record